RNAcentral lists this unclassified non-coding RNA (2869 nucleotides) under Hevea brasiliensis (rubber tree). Lineage: Eukaryota; Viridiplantae; Streptophyta; Magnoliopsida; Malpighiales; Euphorbiaceae. The record is from RNAcentral.
UCUUCUUCCUUUUUUUUUUUUUUAGGUAGAAUUCAUUAUAAAGCCAUAAAAAUGGCAAAAGGCUGAUAUGUGCACAAUCUAAAGAACAGUCCUCAUGUGAUUCUUUCGAGUACAUCUGACGUUGUCCAUUAUAAUUUGCGCCUAACUGUUUGGAUGAUCUGUGAUUAAAUUUCUAAUUUUCUUUUAGACUAGAUUACAUGCUGAUCGUUUCUUAUUCCAAGCUCAGAACACCAAAAUUGGUAUAAUAAUGGAUCAUCGAUUUCUCACAAUUACUGGGGAAUGAUUUUUGUCUCCUCUUCGGUCUGGCGAUCACGAUUAUUGAGGGAUGAUUUUUUGAUCCCCUGUGUUUUUGGAUUUUGUUCAUAAAGAAAAUUUAGCUGCUUUUAACAGCAGCCGUUAGUCAACCACCUGAGCUUAACCCAAGUGAUAAAUUUAGGGAUAGGUUAGGGAUUAGGCGUGGGCAGGGAUGGAAGUGGUCGUUACCCCCUUUUAUAAUCUCACUCACUUGAAGUUAGAAGGGGGAAGAAAUCAGGAGAUUCUAAGGUUUUAUCUUUAACCUCUCGUUCUCAAGCCUGGAGUGGUGGCCAACUAGCUGUCUGAUUUUGCUGAUUGUUGGUGCUCUGUCAACUCCACCAGAUGUUGGAGUGCCAAAAUUAAUUACUUUGAUAGGUCGUGCCCUUGUGCAUUUUGUUGUCAUCUUGUAGGGUUGUGGAAAGUGUAGGGGAGGACGUAGAUGAGGUAAAGGAGGGUGACACAGUCAUUCCCACAUUCAUGUCAGAUUGUGGAGAUUGUACAGAUUGCAGAUCAAAGAAGAGCAACCUUUGUUCAAAACUGCCCUUCAAGGUCUCUCCUUGGAUGCCAAGAUAUGAGUCGAGUAGAUUCACAGACCUAAAUGGAGAGGUUUUAUACCAUUUCCUCUUUGUGUCCAGCUUUAGUCAGUAUACAGUGGUAGACGUUGCCCAUCUUACAAAGAUCGAUCCUUCAAUCCCACCACACAGAGCAUGCCUUCUCAGCUGCGGAGUAUCAACUGGUAAUAACCAUUGAUUUUCUUAGAGUUGAACGUGCCAUAUUGAUAGUUUACAAUUGACAUUUUAGUUGAUAACUUCCCAUUGGCUUGCUUUCUUACACAACCUAUUCGCAUUACAGUAGUAUAACUUUUUUUCCCUUAAAAUUCUGGUAGAUUUUCUGAAGGUGAACUUGCUCCAUUCCGUUCAGGACUAUGGUGAUUUUAGUUGCAUUUUGUAGCCUUUCCACUGAUAUUGAAACUUUAGCAAUUGGAUGCUUGGAGAAACAUGCACUAGUGGGUCAAAUACGUGGUCGGUCUGGAAAAUUAUUAAAUAAAACCAAUAUAUGUAAAUGCUUUGAUUCUUAUUGUUGAUCAUGGUGGGAUAUGCAUGGUUCUGCCAUGAUUCAAGGUAGAAGUGUUUUAUUGUACAUAUUACUGUUGUUCAGUCUCUUGCAUGUUUAUGACUUGCAUUUUGUACAUCUCCAAGGUAUAUGUUAGUUGCUGUGUCAUCUGUGUGAGUGAUUAUUACUUAAGAGCAUUAGAGUACCAACCUAAAUCAUUUUCCCUCGAGUUUAUAUGAACCAAAAAUAGUUUAAAUGUUUCGCUUCCUUAUUUUUAGCAGAAAGACUAUAAAAAUCCAUUUCACCAUCUUUUGACGUUGAGUUUGCACUUUACAUUAGCAGUUUUCUUGCAAAUUUCAUACACUCCAUUGGAAGCUUGCUUUGGAGUUAUUUAUAUGUUUAUGUGUUGAAGGGAAAGUGUUUCAGCAUUGAGAUGAUAUUUUAGGUGUUGGUGCUUCUUGGAGAACCGCAAAUGUGGAGACUGGAUCAACUGUUGCCAUAUUUGGGCUGGGAUCGAUUGGUUUAGCAGUAUGAUCUUAAAGAUCUUUCUACAUUUUCUUUUCACUUCUUUUUUUUCCCAUUAUUAGAUGUGAGGCAGCAGAUAUACGUUCACGGCUACUGGUUGUUCUGUAGGUUGCGGAGGGUGCAAGAUUAUGUGGUGCUACUAGAAUUAUAGGCGUUGAUAUGAACCCCGACAAGUUUGAAAUUGGGAAAAAAUUUGGAGUCACAGAUUUCAUCAGUGCUGGAGAUUCUGGGAGCAAAUCUGUGAGCCAGGUGAUAAAUGAGAUGACCGGCGGAGGGGCCGACUACUGCUUCGAAUGUGUUGGCUUGGCAUCCUUGGUUCGUGAAGCAUAUUCUUGCUGCCGAAAGGGUUGGGGAAAGACAAUCGUCCUAGGAGUGGACAAACCAGGAGCACAGCUGAGUCUUAGCUCUUUUGAUGUACUUCAUAAUGGGAAAAUCCUCACAGGAUCCUUGUUUGGAGGUCUCAAAGCUAAAUCUGAUAUUCCAGUUCUACUAAAACGCUAUAUGGACAAGGAACUUCAAUUGGAUGAGUUUGUAUCACAUGAGAUAAAGUUCGAAGACAUCAACAAAGCUUUUGAUUUGCUCACCGAAGGAAAGUGUCUCCGAUGCGUGAUUUGGAUGGACCAAUGAGUAUGUUAUCCUGUACGUUCACUGCAAAAAUUCUCUGCUGAGGAUAUGCGGCAUUAUUUCUUAGGUGUGCUGGGCCUGCUGUUCAAAUAAAUCAAGACACAGUCUAUUAUUGGCUUCUUGCGUUUUUGAAGCCGCAUGUUAGAACCAGCAAGCGUUAUAUUGUUUUCAAUUGAAAGGACAUGUAUUGGAUACUGAUUGCUUCUAAGACACUGUAAAUGCACUAGCUGCUCGGUAAAAUAUUUGACCGGGGAUCUGUUUUCUUAAAUGACCCAAAAUGCCGUAGCCAGUGAAACUCUAGAACUAGUGUCACACCUUACCUUCUGUAAGGCGUAACAUGAUCUCGUAAUAUACCUAAUGAACUAUCGAACUU